AUUGAACGCUGGCGGCAUGCCUUACACAUGCAAGUCGAACGGCAGCACGGGUGCUUGCACCUGGUGGCGAGUGGCGCACGGGUGAGUAAUACAUCGGAACAUGUCCUGUAGUGGGGGAUAGCCCGGCGAAAGCCGGAUUAAUACCGCAUACGAUCUACGGAUGAAAGCGGGGGCCCUUCGGGCCUCGCGCUAUAGGGUUGGCCGAUGGCUGAUUAGCUAGUUGGUGGGGUAAAGGCCUACCAAGGCGACGAUCAGUAGCUGGUCUGAGAGGGCGACCAGCCACACUGGAACUGAGACACGGCCCAGACUCCUGCGGGAGGCAGCAGUGGGGAAUUUUGGACAAUGGGCGAAAGCCUGAUCCAGCAAUGCCGCGUGUGUGAAGAAGGCCUUCGGGUUGUAAAGCACUUUUGUCCGGAAAGAAAUCCUUGGCCCUAAUACGGGCGGGUGAUGACGGUACCGGAAGAAUAAGCACCGGCUAACUACGUG
Molecule: ribosomal RNA, 486 nt
Filed under: uncultured bacterium
Lineage: Bacteria
Description: partial 16S ribosomal RNA
Rfam family: Bacterial small subunit ribosomal RNA
Source: RNAcentral